AGCAGCCGCGGUAAUUCCAGCUCCAAUAGCGUAUAUUAAAGUUGUUGCAGUUAAAAAGCUCGUAGUUGAAUUUCGGGGUCAGCAGGUUGGUCGUGCCUAUGGUAUGAACUGGCUUCGCUGGUCUCUCCUUUCUGAAGAACUGUAAUGCCAUUAAUUUGGUGUUGCAGGGACACAGGACUGUUACUUUGAAAAAUUAGAGUGUUUAAAGCAGGCUAACGCUUGAAUACAUUAGCAUGGAAUAAUGAAAUAGGACGUUCGAACCUAUUUUGUUGGUUUCUAGGAUUGACGUAAUGAUUAAUAGGGAUAGUUGGGGGCAUUAGUAUUCAAUUGUCAGAGGUGAAAUUCUUGGAUUUAUUGAAGACUGACUACUGCGAAAGCAUUUGCCAAGGAUGUUUUCAUUAAUCAAGAACGAAAGUUAGGGGAUCGAAGACGAUCAGAUACCGUCGUAGUCUUAACCAUAAACUAUGCCGACUAGGGAUCGGAUGAUGUUAAUUUUAAUGACUCAUUCGGACG
Molecule: ribosomal RNA, 513 nt
Filed under: uncultured Glomus
Lineage: Eukaryota; Fungi; Glomeromycota; Glomeromycetes; Glomerales; Glomeraceae
Description: SSU rRNA
Rfam family: Eukaryotic small subunit ribosomal RNA
Source: RNAcentral